AGAGGCUGAGCCCAUAAAGGCCAGCUCCCUUAUCUUUCACAGGGACUGGGUAAAGGCAGUUUCUUGUCUAGGUCUCCUUAUGCUGGACUGGCCAUAUGCCCCGUGAUUGUUGCAUUUUUGUCCUGAGCCUGUAAUAAGCCUAGAUUUUUUACCUUUGAUCCCUGUUUUCCUCAUGGACCAAGGCUGGGGACACUCUCUCUCUCUGAAAGGACCCAAUGGGAAAUUUCCAGCUCUGCUGAUGGUGAAAAAAUGAAAACAUUACAACGGGCAAAGCCAGCACUUCAAGCCAGGUCUCCUGAAAGGUUAGAAGUCAGUUCAUGCCUGAUCUCAGUUCUAACCAUUGACCUACCCUUGGAGUUUCAAGCAAGAGGGGAGUCGUGGCAUGUUUUCUCUGAGUUUCUGGGCUUCAGCUCUGCUGACUGUACUCAACCUCUGGGCCUGGGCUGGCUCAUCUUCCUUGCCUUAUUUCCUUUCUCCGAUACUCAAGAUGAGUUGAUUGAGCAGCCCUCAAGCCUUGUGACAGCAUUCAUUGGAGGUUCAGCAAUACUGCCUUGCAGAUUGAAAAGUGACCUCCCACCUGGGCCAGUGAGAUGGUAUAAGUCCCUAAUAAGGGGCUCAUCUUCAUUGACAAAAAGUCUAACUCCCGGGUCCAAAAUGUGAAUAACACAAACCGUAUCUCGGACAUCCGCAUAACCAACCUCACGAACCAGGAUGAAGGAGUCUACUAUUGUAUCAAGUUCAAGAAAAAUCCUGAAGAUGGAAUCAUCUCUGGGGGUGGCACCCGCCUUAUUGUAGGUAAGUACAAACCAGAGAAAGGCAAAGGAGUACAGGAGAAAGAGCACCAGAUUUGGACUAGGAGA
This 860-nucleotide long non-coding RNA is filed under the name Vombatus ursinus (common wombat). RNAcentral describes it as "lncRNA (ENSVURG00010014302.1)". Lineage: Eukaryota; Metazoa; Chordata; Mammalia; Diprotodontia; Vombatidae. The record is from RNAcentral.